Molecule: ribosomal RNA, 512 nt
Filed under: uncultured bacterium
Lineage: Bacteria
Description: partial 16S ribosomal RNA
Rfam family: Bacterial small subunit ribosomal RNA
Source: RNAcentral
GACGAACGCUGGCGGCGUGCCUAAUACAUGCAAGUCGAGCGAGCGGAACUAACAGAUUUACUUCGGUAAUGACGUUAGGAAAGCGAGCGGCGGAUGGGUGAGUAACACGUGGGGAACCUGCCCCAUAGUCUGGGAUACCACUUGGAAACAGGUGCUAAUACCGGAUAAGAAAGCAGAUCGCAUGAUCAGCUUUUAAAAGGCGGCGUAAGCUGUCGCUAUGGGAUAGCCCCGCGGUGCAUUAGCUAGUUGGUAAGGUAAAGGCUUACCAAGGCGAUGAUGCAUAGCCGAGUCGAGAGAAUGAUCGGCCACAUUGGGACUGAGACACGGCCCAAACUCCUACGGGAGGCAGCAGUAGGGAAUCUUCCACAAUGGACGCAAGUCUGAUGGAGCAACGCCGCGUGAGUGAAGAAGGUUUUCGGAUCGUAAAGCUCUGUUGUUGGUGAAGAAGGAUAGAGGUAGUAACUGGCCUUUAUUUGACGGUAAUCAACCAGAAAGUCACGGCUAACUACGUG